GCCUCGGUGGUGUAGUGGUCAAGACGCUUGCCUGGUAAACAGGAGGGCGUGGGUGUAAUCCCAGCCGAAGUA
This 72-nucleotide transfer RNA is filed under the name Diaphorina citri (Asian citrus psyllid). It matches the Rfam family "tRNA". Rfam says of the family: Transfer RNA (tRNA) molecules are approximately 80 nucleotides in length. Their secondary structure includes four short double-helical elements and three loops (D, anti-codon, and T loops). The record is from Rfam by way of RNAcentral. Lineage: Eukaryota; Metazoa; Arthropoda; Insecta; Hemiptera; Psyllidae.